AUUUUGCCAUGUCACCUCGCUGAAUUAAACUAGACUUUCGUACUUGGACUCUGUUAAAAUUAAAUUCGGCCCAGCCAAGUCCAUGUCGACAAAAUAUUCUUUUGUAAGCUUUCAGAGUCUUUUCUCCCGACUCUUCCACUUCUCUUCUCCAAUCUACGUUUUGCAUUACCUACUCAAUCGAUGACAAUCUUUAAAAGCAUCGUGGAUGUUUUGUUCCACCUCCCCUUGAUCCUCCUCCUAUAUAAAGGGCUAUGUCUAAACCUAAAUACAUCCAAAAUUAAAAACCUAAUGAGAAUCGUAAGAGGUAUGGCUCCUCAUGGAACUAGAUCAAGUGACAUUGACAAAGCAGAAUCGAAGAGUCAUCGAAUGAUCUACACAGCCAUCUUGGUCAUCCGCUUUCUACUUCUAUCCAUGUUAUUUUUUGGUUCUGUAUUUAUGGAUUAUGGAUAUGCAGAAUCUAUCGAUCCUUUUUUUUUCUUCUUCUAACUUUUGUUUUACAGCUCUAUCUGAUGUGAGGGUUCUUUGUUCUCUUCAAAGAAGCUACACAUUACCAAGUGCAUUCGGUUAAUUAAUAUUUGCGGUUGUUUUAGAUUUUCCGAUAGUGUUUUCAUUACAUCACUUCCCACCUCAAACUUAGAUUGUCAUGUUUUUUUUUGUUGGAUUUUGUUCAGGUUUUGAAGGCUAUUAGUAAAUUCUGUAUAUGCUCCGUUUGAAUAGGGAUGUUGCUCAAGAUCUUCAUCAUGUACCCUACUCAACACCGCACAUAUAGAGUUGAUAUUAAUAAUCUAUUUGGUUCUUUCGAUUGGAGGAAUCUCAAUCUUCGUACCAACGUUUUAUCAAUAGAAUCAAAAAGGUCCCAUCCCCAAGAGGCUGGAAUGAAUGUUUUCGGCAGUGAUAAGACUGGGACUCUAACUCUUAACAAGCUUUGCGUCUAUAAGUCAUUGAUUGAAGUAUUCCCAAGGAACAUAGAUUCCGGUGCAGUUGUAUUGAUAGCUGCAAGAGCCUCCAAAUUCGAAAACCAAGAUGCCAUUGAUGCAUCCAUUGUAGGGAUGUUGGGUGAUCCAAAAAAGGUAAUUUGAAUUGAUUUAGUUAAAUCUGUAUCCUUUUGCUGCAGGCAAUCUUGAUCAAUUCAGAUAGGCAAGAGAAGGAAUCAAAGAGGUGCAUUUCUUUUCCUUUAAUCCUGUAAACGUACAGCUAUCACAUACACUGAUGAAAAUGGAGACUCGCAUGAAGCAGCAAAGGAGCUCCUGAGCAAAUUGUACCUGAGAAGACCAAGGAAAGCGAGGGUAGUCCAUAUGGGAUCUUAUUGUUUCUUACGUUCUAAAGUAUCUGGGAAUGGACAAUCCCUAAAAGUACCAGCUUUAGGUAAUUUUAUAUCAACCAAACAUAAUUAGAAAUCUGGCGAUCAAGUUACACUACCGUUGAGUAUCAGAGCGGAAGCUAUAAAAGUUAAUAGCACGAACUAAGAGCAGCCUCCAGUAAAUGUGAAGAACUUGAGUUCUUAUAUGAUUAACGUGCUACCCAGGUCUGUUGCCACAUUCUCAACUUGAUCACAUUUACCUUCAUACAAGCAUGUCUAAUGUAUUUUUGUAGCCAGGUCACAAAUACUCUUCAUAUUUCAACAAACCUUCAUGGUUGCACUAAUUUCCCUUUAAGUUGCUACCUACUUUCAGACUCUAGCUCCUCCCAUGUGAUAUACUAAGCGUUUCAGAUUCUAGAUUUUCCUUAUAGAAAUAGAGUAUAAUUUAGUUCUUAAACAAUGUUAUUCAAGCAAGUGUGUGUUACUGAUUUCAUCUCAUGCUUCUCCCAUGUGCUAUAUACUAAAUAUUUUAGAGUCUCCAGUUCCUUAUAUUCACUUCAGAAGUAGAGUAUAAGUUGUUACACAUUGGCAAAUAUAAAGCCACCGAAUUUCUUGGAUGCAUGAGCGAUGAUUAAGCAUGAUUAGUCAUCAAGACUGAUAAAAUCAAAAAACAAAUUGUCAACAAAAAAAAAAUUGACUGUAUGAGAACAUCAAAACUGAUUUUUUUACUGUCAUAAAAACAUAUAAACAGAAUUUCAUAAAUACUUUUAACUAAGUCCACUGAAGUACCAAAAAUAAUAUAAAUGAAUACAAGGAAAUAAAAAUAUUCUUGAAACAUAAUAUCAUGUUUGGAGUAACAAAAUAUUACUCUAGACUGAAUAAAUAUUUAUAUUCAAACAGAAUUAUAAUUCGAAAACUCCGCAAUACAAUUAAUAAUAUACACAAAAAUAAUAAACAAUAAUGGAUAAAAACAAAAACACACGUGAGGGUGAAAAUAACACUGUAAAUAACUUUAUUUUAAAUCAUAAAACACGCUGCUGAAAUAAGCACAUAAAUAUAUAUGAAUUAAAAAGUGUAUAGAUAAACUAUGUCUGUGGAUCAUCCCACUAUGAUUAGACCUAACCAUAUAUCAACCAAUAGAAAAAUGUAGUAGAAAAUAUUUUCAAUAAAUUUUAUAUUGAAAAUCGAAAACGACACUUAUUUUGAAACAAAAACUCUACUUUAGAACGACAAGUAAUUUGAAACGGAGGGAGUAUAGAAAGAACACAAGUAUUAUUACAUCUUACUGCAAAGUCAAUUUUCCUGAAUUACAUGCAUGCAUACUCUGGUAAAAUUGUAGAAAAACUCAACAGAAGCAAUAUAAAUUGUCAUAUUUAGCUAAUUCAGUAAUUUGGAUAUAUGAACUUUUUUCAGACACUGAUAGAAUAUCUGUUUGUCCUUUCCGGUGAUCUUUAAUAACAACUGAUGGGUGAAGACACUGAUUGCAGGGCAAGUAACAGCAAAGGUGGAAUAUCUGGUUAUCCUUUCCGGUGAUCAUUGUAACUUGAGAAGG
Long non-coding RNA from Brassica napus (rape), 2852 nucleotides. RefSeq lists it as uncharacterized. Lineage: Eukaryota; Viridiplantae; Streptophyta; Magnoliopsida; Brassicales; Brassicaceae. The record is from RefSeq and is a predicted model, not a curated record. The transcript is spliced from 4 exons.